CCUACGGGUGGCAGCAGUGGGGAAUAUUGGACAAUGGGGGGAACCCUGAUCCAGCCAUGCCGCGUGUGUGAAGAAGGCCCUCGGGUUGUAAAGCACUUUCAGUGAGGAAGAACGCCUGGUGGUUAAUACCCAUCAGGAAAGACAUCACUCACAGAAGAAGCACCGGCUAACUCCGUGCCAGCAGCCGCGGUAAUACGGAGGGUGCGAGCGUUAAUCGGAAUUACUGGGCGUAAAGCGCGCGUAGGUGGCUUGAUAAGCCGGUUGUGAAAGCCCCGGGCUCAACCUGGGAACGGCAUCCGGAACUGUCAAGCUAGAGUGCAGGAGAGGAAGGUAGAAUUCCCGGUGUAGCGGUGAAAUGCGUAGAGAUCGGGAGGAAUACCAGUGGCGAAGGCGGCCUUCUGGACUGACACUGACACUGAGGUGCGAAAUCGUGGGUAGCAAACAGGAUUAGAUACCCCGGUAGUC
This 465-nucleotide ribosomal RNA is filed under the name Vreelandella stevensii. RNAcentral describes it as "partial 16S ribosomal RNA". It matches the Rfam family "Bacterial small subunit ribosomal RNA", at positions 338 to 795 of the family's 1533-position model. Lineage: Bacteria; Pseudomonadati; Pseudomonadota; Gammaproteobacteria; Oceanospirillales; Halomonadaceae. The record is from RNAcentral.